GGUAGUAGAAUGUUAAUUUUUUUUCAAAAAAAAUCAUUGUAUAACAUAAAAAUUAAAUAAAUGUUCAUGAUUAUGUGGAAUAAAGACUAUGUAAUAUGGUGAUUUUUAAAAUUGUAAAAUUGUGUGGAUUGUAAAAUUGUAAGAAAGUGGCUGUUAAAUAAUAGAACAUUGUGCAUGGUCUAACAAGUAACUGCUUAGAUAAUCCAGAUUCUACAAGUAAUCAAUUUGACUUUAAUAUAUCUUAAGAAAUAUAUGAUAUAACGUGUUACACUAUUUUAGAAUUAUUUUAAAGCAUCUAUUUUAUGUUUAAAAAAAGCGGGAAAACUCAAUUAUAUGCUAAAGGAUAAAUCAAUUAGUUAUGUGGCGGAUGUUCAAUAAUUCUUUUUAUGUUUAAUAGAUUUUUGAUAGACAACAAAGUUCAAAUUAUUUCACAUAAGUAUUAGGCUG
Molecule: long non-coding RNA, 447 nt
Filed under: Brassica napus (rape)
Lineage: Eukaryota; Viridiplantae; Streptophyta; Magnoliopsida; Brassicales; Brassicaceae
Description: long non-coding RNA (BNAP_LNC026885)
Source: RNAcentral